GGGAGCUUGCUCCCUGAGGUUAGCGGCGGACGGGUGAGUAACACGUGGGUAACCUGCCUGUAAGAUUGGGAUAACUCCGGGAAACCGGAGCUAAUACCGGAUAACAUUUUGAACCGCAUGGUUCGAAAUUGAAAGAUGGCUUCGGCUAUCACUUACAGAUGGACCCGCGGCGCAUUAGCUAGUUGGUGAGGUAACGGCUCACCAAGGCGACGAUGCGUAGCCGACCUGAGAGGGUGAUCGGCCACACUGGGACUGAGACACGGCCCAGACUCCUACGGGAGGCAGCAGUAGGGAAUCUUCCGCAAUGGACGAAAGUCUGACGGAGCAACGCCGCGUGAACGAUGAAGGCCUUCGGGUCGUAAAGUUCUGUUGUUAGGGAAGAACAAGUACCAGAGUAACUGCUGGUACCUUGACGGUACCUAACCAGAAAGCCACGGCUAACUACGUGCCAGCAGCCGCGGUAAUACGUAGGUGGCAAGCGUUGUCCGGAAUUAUUGGGCGUAAAGCGCUCGCAGGCGGUUUCUUAAGUCUGAU
This 534-nucleotide ribosomal RNA is filed under the name marine sediment bacterium BB0608_2216_5.2_8G0. RNAcentral's name for it is "bacterial SSU rRNA". It matches the Rfam family "Bacterial small subunit ribosomal RNA", at positions 74 to 593 of the family's 1533-position model. The record is from RNAcentral.